RNAcentral lists this ribosomal RNA (497 nucleotides) under uncultured bacterium. RNAcentral describes it as "partial 16S ribosomal RNA". It matches the Rfam family "Bacterial small subunit ribosomal RNA", at positions 28 to 507 of the family's 1533-position model. The record is from RNAcentral.
GAUGAACGCUGGCGGCGUGCCUAAUACAUGCAAGUCGAGCGAACGGACGAGAAGCUUGCUUCUCUGAUGUUAGCGGCGGACGGGUGAGUAACACGUGGAUAACCUACCUAUAAGACUGGGAUAACUUCGGGAAACCGUGGCUAAUACCGGAUAAUAUUUUGAACCGCAUGGUUCAAAAGUGAAAGACGGUCUUGCUGUCACUUAUAGAUGGAUCCGCGCUGCAUUAGCUAGUUGGUAAGGUAACGGCUUACCAAGGCAACGAUGCAUAGCCGACCUGAGAGGGUGAUCGGCCACACUGGAACUGAGACACGGUCCAGACUCCUACGGGAGGCAGCAGUGGGGAAUCUUCCGCAAUGGGCGAAAGCCUGACGCAGCAACGCCGCGUGGGUGAUGAAGGCCUUCGGAUCGUAAAACUCUGUUAUUAGGGAAGAACAGAUGUGUAAGUAACUGUGCCCAUCUUGACGGUACCUAAUCAGAAAGCCCCGGCUAACUACGUG